CCGCAGCCAUGGGAGUACAGUGAUGGAACGCAGUUCUAGACCUGUGCUGGGGGUCAAACCCAUGUUGAACAUGCUGGACACAGAGAUCCAUUGCCAGCCCUUACCGUCUGCCUUUUAAAAAAAACUUUCAUAUUGAUCUCCGUGGGAUGCACAUUUACAUUCUCGCCAGCAGCUUCUUACCCUGGACUUUCACUGGCAUUUGUUGUAAUUUUGUUGUUUUGGUGACAGAACUUGCAGAAAAACCUCCUGCGGAUCUGUAACCAAUGGCUGGGUGUGAGCAGUGGCCCACGACUCUUCACGACACUGCUAUGCUCCUCCUUCCUCACAUGUCACAUGUACCCUUCUUAUCUGCUGCCAACCUGUACUGGGCUUCAAUAUUAUUGUCAUCAUUUGUUUAAUCUACAUCGUCAAGGAGUGCAUAUUAUUAUAUGCAUUCACA
Molecule: non-coding RNA, 439 nt
Organism: Myodes glareolus (Bank vole)
Lineage: Eukaryota; Metazoa; Chordata; Mammalia; Rodentia; Cricetidae
Source: RefSeq, a predicted model, not a curated record